GGGGAGGACGCCUUGGUUUAAUCAAUGUGGCCCAUAUCCUCAGUAUUCUUCAAUCUGUUCUGGCUCGAUCGUUAAGGGCUCUGGAUUACCAUUCUGUAAAAGGUAAAUUGAGAUUGUAUGAGUUCACGAAAUCAAGAAAACCGAGAAUCAAUAGGAGGCAAUAACUUGACAAAAAAUAAUAAAAUGACGAGUACGUGAUUUGGAACCACCAUAACCCACCGGAGGGAGCUUUUGUGAACCAUUCGAUUCAAACUCAGGAUGAUGGCAGUGAGACCACAGCGGUGCCGAGAGGCCUUGGAAGAUAGACAUUAUCGUCUUCCCCCAUCAAUUUAAAGCCAGUAUCGAAGAGGUAAGGAUCGAGUUAGGGAUUUCGGUUCCCCCUGGUUGCAAGAGAAAGGGAGAAGAGGAACGCGAGAGAACACGACAUCUCACCAUCAUGCAAGCCAUCGAGUUGGCAUGAACCAGGAACCACCAUUGGAGCACGA
RNAcentral lists this long non-coding RNA (485 nucleotides) under Lupinus angustifolius (narrow-leaved blue lupine). RNAcentral's name for it is "long non-coding RNA (LANG_LNC001711)". Lineage: Eukaryota; Viridiplantae; Streptophyta; Magnoliopsida; Fabales; Fabaceae. The record is from RNAcentral.